CAAGUACUCCCUCUGUCCGGAAUUACUUGUCAUCAAAAUGGAUGUGUCUAGAACUAAAAUACAUCUAGAUACAUCCAUUUCAAUGACAAGUAUUUUCGGAUGGAGGGAGUACAAG
Molecule: non-coding RNA, 115 nt
Organism: Triticum aestivum (bread wheat)
Lineage: Eukaryota; Viridiplantae; Streptophyta; Magnoliopsida; Poales; Poaceae
Source: Rfam